AGGAUGAACGCUAGCGACAGGCCUAACACAUGCAAGUCGAGGGGCAGCACGGUGUAGCAAUACACGGGUGGCGACCGGCGCACGGGUGAGUAACGCGUAUGCAACCUGCCUACUGCAAGGGGAUAACCCGUUGAAAGACGGACUAAUACCCUAUAACACAGGGAAUCCGCAUGGAUAUAUUUGUUAAAGAUUUAUCGGUAGUAGAUGGGCAUGCGUUCCAUUAGCUUGUUGGUGAGGUAACGGCUCACCAAGGCAACGAUGGAUAGGGGAACUGAGAGGUUGAUCCCCCACACUGGAACUGAGACACGGUCCAGACUCCUACGGGAGGCAGCAGUGAGGAAUAUUGGUCAAUGGACGAGAGUCUGAACCAGCCAAGUCGCGUGAAGGAAGACGGCCCUACGGGUUGUAAACUUCUUUUGUAAGGGAAUAAAUAGUCUUACGCGCUAAGACGUUGCAGGUACCUUACGAAUAAGGAUCGGCUAACUCCGUG
Molecule: ribosomal RNA, 490 nt
Filed under: uncultured bacterium
Lineage: Bacteria
Description: bacterial SSU rRNA
Rfam family: Bacterial small subunit ribosomal RNA
Source: RNAcentral